UGACACCUAAAAGGAAGGAAAUGGUAAAGCAAAGUAAUAACUCAAAGACUGCCAGCGAGAGCUUUUGUCUACCUUUAACUCAUUGUGGAACUUGACAUCAUCAGACAGUAAAUCAAGAGGUACUGACAACUGAGACUGAGUGAUGGUCCCUGCCUAGGAUUUGGAAUCUUUGCAUGAAAUAGGGACUCUAGCCACCAGCGACAAAGAAGUCAGGGAGACUGUUGUCUCUAGGAAGCACUUCCAGGAAACAGGAAUUCAGGCAAAGUUGGACAUUCCAAAGAUGGCGUAGAUGAACAUGACCAGGAAGAGCAGGAGGCCGAUGUUAAAUAACGCAGGAAGGGACAUCAUCAAAGCAAAGAGCAGCGUGCGGAUCCCCUUUGCUCCUUUGACUAGACGUAGGAUUCGGCCAAUCCUGGCAAGACGGAUCACUCGGAACAGG
This is a long non-coding RNA of Pongo pygmaeus (Bornean orangutan), 439 nucleotides long. RefSeq lists it as uncharacterized. The record is from RefSeq and is a predicted model, not a curated record. The transcript has 3 exons. Lineage: Eukaryota; Metazoa; Chordata; Mammalia; Primates; Hominidae.